RNAcentral lists this ribosomal RNA (110 nucleotides) under Enterococcus faecium. RNAcentral describes it as "partial 16S ribosomal RNA". It matches the Rfam family "Bacterial small subunit ribosomal RNA", at positions 1425 to 1533 of the family's 1533-position model. Lineage: Bacteria; Bacillati; Bacillota; Bacilli; Lactobacillales; Enterococcaceae. The record is from RNAcentral.
AGUCGGUGAGGUAACCUUUUUGGAGCCAGCCGCCUAAGGUGGGAUAGAUGAUUGGGGUGAAGUCGUAACAAGGUAGCCGUAUCGGAAGGUGCGGCUGGAUCACCUCCUUU